RNAcentral lists this ribosomal RNA (428 nucleotides) under uncultured bacterium. RNAcentral describes it as "bacterial SSU rRNA". It matches the Rfam family "Bacterial small subunit ribosomal RNA", at positions 354 to 774 of the family's 1533-position model. The record is from RNAcentral.
GUGGGGAAUAUUGGACAAUGGGCGAAAGCCUGAUCCAGCCAUGCCGCGUGUGUGAAGAAGGUCUUCGGAUUGUAAAGCACUUUAAGUUGGGAGGAAGGGCAGUAAGUUAAUACCUUGCUGUUUUGACGUUACCAACAGAAUAAGCACCGGCUAACUUCGUGCCAGCAGCCGCGGUAAUACGAAGGGUGCAAGCGUUAAUCGGAAUUACUGGGCGUAAAGCGCUCGUAGGUGGUUUGGUAAGAUGGAUGUGAAAUCCCCGGGCUCAACCUGGGAACUGCAUCCAUAACGGCCUGACUAGAGUACGGUAGAGGGUGGUGGAAUUUCCUGUGUAGCGGUGAAAUGCGUAGAUAUAGGAAGGAACACCAGUGGCGAAGGCGACCACCUGGACUGAUACUGACACUGAGGUGCGAAAGCGUGGGGAGCAAACA